AUCCAGGAUUCUUCCUGCUGGAGGUGGUGCUACCAUAAUGGAAACUAGACAUCUACCAAGAGCUUGAGGACUGAGGAGAAGAUACUUGGAAACAGAAGGAGAGAGCAGUCAAUACACUUGCCUAAGGCCACACAGCUGCUACGCAAAUGACUGAUCUACAGUUACAACCCAAACCAAGACGAUGUCAAGACUGAGC
Molecule: long non-coding RNA, 196 nt
Filed under: Ictidomys tridecemlineatus (thirteen-lined ground squirrel)
Lineage: Eukaryota; Metazoa; Chordata; Mammalia; Rodentia; Sciuridae
Description: lncRNA (ENSSTOG00000034246.1)
Source: RNAcentral